UUGUUGGUGGUCCAGUGGUUAGGACUCUACAUUCGCACUGUUGAGGGCCCAGGUUCAAUCCCUGGUUGGGAAA
Molecule: non-coding RNA, 73 nt
Organism: Odocoileus virginianus texanus
Lineage: Eukaryota; Metazoa; Chordata; Mammalia; Artiodactyla; Cervidae
Source: the annotation of a RefSeq genome assembly